This 420-nucleotide long non-coding RNA is filed under the name Mytilus galloprovincialis (Mediterranean mussel). The record is from RNAcentral. Lineage: Eukaryota; Metazoa; Mollusca; Bivalvia; Mytilida; Mytilidae.
AUGAAGAUUUUUUGCUACAUUGUAUAUAUGUCAAAAUUUUAAAGCAAUAAUAUUAUACCUAUUUGUAUUUGUUUUUAUUUCAGCUUGAUUCCAAUCUUUGGCAAUGGCUAAUACAAGAAAAGGCAAGGCAUACAUGUAUAUGUACAAUACAUGAUUCUCUGUAGCAAUUGGAUUGUCUAUUCACCCCUAUAGUUCCACAACAACAAUGAAACUCUAGACUACUACAUGUAUGAUGUUAUGAAGAUAUUUACAUAUACCUACAUGUACAUCUACAAAAAUGAUCCAUUUUGAAGAUUGUUUAUGCCAGGUCUAAUGAUCAGGUCGACUAGUACAACAAGUUUUGAUUCAGCUUUCUGACAGGAAUUAUUUAUAAACUUGCCAGCAGUUACAACAAAUGAAUAUUAUUAAUUGAGUUAAAAA